GCUUACUGUCAAAGUUGUCGUGCCUCUGUUUGAAGGAGGAUUGCAGGUUGGUGCUAAGCCUGGACACGGGGGCUUUGAUCUCCGUCUGACUCUGCUGGCUCAGCUUCUCCUCCAGCUCCACCGUGCAGCAGGAGAAACCCUGUGGACACACCUUCAGGGGGGCUCCUAGAAAAGAGACACAGCAUCUUACAAUCAGUUCACCAGACUCGAUCCUCAUCACCUGCCCCGGAACAGCAAAAGGCCCCAACUGAACCACCUCAGGACCAGGCCUCGUGUGGAUCCUCACAGGAUGAGGCCCCAUCACAACUUCAGGGCUCUUCACUGCCUGCCUCUCAACAACAGCAGGAUGAGUCCUCACCGCAUCCCGUGUCAUCACAUUCCUCAUCAGCUUCAUCAAAUCCAUCUCCAUCUCUCCAUGCCUCCCUUGACCGAGAAUCCGUUUCAACGGAUCAACAAACAGUCGAUGAGUUGCUAGAGUCCACCAGCACACCACGACCUGCUCUCAACAAGAGGCGGCGCCAGCAGCAUGUGGAUGACUGCUUUUCUGAACAGAUGGCCCGAAUUGACAAACGUAGGAAGGAGCUCAGUGAGAUACUGCAGAAGGAUGAUAAGUACGACAGGUUUGGGCAGGUUCUAGCGGACCUACUGAGGAAGGUCCCUGAACAUAAGCAGGUGGUGGCCAGGCGCAACCUUUUAGCAUGUGUGUGCGACCUUCUGGAGAAUUGAAAUGUGUUUGUGUUGAAAGUUUUUUUUAUUCGCAUGUUUUUAUUUUUAUUCCUAGAAGUGUUUCAUUUGCAUGUUUCUUUUCUAUUAAAAGCGAAGUCUGUUUUCUUCCAUUUACAGUUUUUUUUUUCAUUUUCAGUCAUUUGGCAUCAGUUUGCACUCCGUAUUAUUUCACACUCAUUGACUAGGCUCCAAAAAGCAGAUAAACACAGAGUCUUGAAAAAAAAUUCAUACCCCAAGAUAAUUUCAGGUUUUUAGUUGAGAUUUUUUAAAGGUUUUAUUCACUCAGCUUCAAUUUGUAGUUAAUUCCACUACAACAGAGUUUAUUCCUAUUAGGAGUAGCACUUGCAUAACAAAAUAUGAGCUGUAUAAUCAUUUAAACAUCAGUGAACAAGGCACUAGAAAACAGACCUGGUAAACAGCAAAAAAAAAGAAAACAGAACACUACCACCAGGCGCUAUGAUUACGAUGGACAAACUCUAGUCUGUGAGUGCGCCACGUGACACAGUCUCCUCCUGCCAGGACACAGCUCCUGCUGGUGAC
Molecule: non-coding RNA, 1266 nt
Organism: Nothobranchius furzeri (turquoise killifish)
Lineage: Eukaryota; Metazoa; Chordata; Actinopteri; Cyprinodontiformes; Nothobranchiidae
Source: RefSeq, a predicted model, not a curated record